This 962-nucleotide ribosomal RNA is filed under the name Klebsiella pneumoniae. RNAcentral's name for it is "bacterial SSU rRNA". It matches the Rfam family "Bacterial small subunit ribosomal RNA", at positions 1 to 940 of the family's 1533-position model. Lineage: Bacteria; Pseudomonadati; Pseudomonadota; Gammaproteobacteria; Enterobacterales; Enterobacteriaceae. The record is from RNAcentral.
CGUUAAGUUUUUUAGAGUUUGAUCCUGGCUCAGAUUGAACGAUGGCGGCAGGCCUAACACAUGCAAGUCGAGCGGUAGCACAGAGAGCUUGCUCUCGGGUGACGAGCGGCGGACGGGUGAGUAAUGUCUGGGAAACUGCCUGAUGGAGGGGGAUAACUACUGGAAACGGUAGCUAAUACCGGCAUAAUGUCGCAAGACCAAAGUGGGGGACCUUCGGGCCUCAUGCCAUCAGAUGUGCCCAGAUGGGAUUAGCUAGUAGGUGGGGUAACGGCUCACCUAGGCGACGAUCCCUAGCUAGGUCUGAGAGGAUGACCAGCCACACUGGAACUGAGACACGGUCCAGACUCCUACGGGAGGCAGCAGUGGGGAAUAUUGCACAAUGGGCGCAAGCCUGAUGCAGCCAUGCCGCGUGUGUGAAGAAGGCCUUCGGGUUGUAAAGCACUUUCAGCGGGGAGGAAGGCGAUAAGGUUAAUAACCUUGUCGAUUGACGUUACCCGCAGAAGAAGCACCGGCUAACUCCGUGCCAGCAGCCGCGGUAAUACGGAGGGUGCAAGCGUUAAUCGGAAUUACUGGGCGUAAAGCGCACGCAGGCGGUCUGUGCAAGUCGGAUGUGAAAUCCCCGGCGCUCAACCUGGGAACUGCAUUCGAAACUGGCAGUGCUAGAGUCUUGUAGAGGGGGGUAGAAUUCCAGGUGUAGCGGUGAAUAUGCGUAGAGAUCUGGAGGAAUACCGGUGGCGAAGGCGGCCCCCUGGACAAAGACUGACGCUCACGUGCGAAAGCGUGGGGAGCAAACAGGAUUAAACCCUCCGGUAGUACACGCCGUAGACGAUGUCGACUUCGAGGAUGUGCCCCUGAGGCAUGGGAUUCCGGACCUAACGCGUUUAAAUCCAACCGCCAGAGGAGACCCGGCGCAAAGGCGAACACGACAUAACCUUCGGGAGGGCGCUUACCACUUGGAUCCA